Molecule: long non-coding RNA, 1835 nt
Organism: Hyaena hyaena (striped hyena)
Lineage: Eukaryota; Metazoa; Chordata; Mammalia; Carnivora; Hyaenidae
Exons: 5
Source: RefSeq, a predicted model, not a curated record
UCUAUAUAAGAGCCUAGCUAAGCUAGCUUGUAAGAUCUUUGAAAGUCAUCUUAUUCUUGUUUUUCCCAGAACACGCUGGAUGGUGGUUUUGACACCCAAGCCACUAACAAAUGCCACGAAGUCAUAUAAGUCACAGACUGGCGUGCUGAGAGUUAAAUAUUCUGUUGCACAUAUGUGGAGUUGAAUUAGUUUUAAUCGUGGCUACAGAUUUCCCAUGCCGUGUUUGUGGCAGAAAAGGUGGAGGGGGCAAUUUCAAGGCACGAUGCGGGAAAGGGGCCGAGGAGGGAGGUUUCUGAGAAAGAUGUUGCUUGCUGGCUUAGAGUCUCCAGUGCACAUCACUGAUAUACGUGCAUCAUAAAGCAACGUUGACUCUUCAGGGAGAAUUAGAUAAUGGUGUGCGCUGGAAACCAUAAGAAAAAUGGAGACACGCCUUCAAUGUUGUGGUUAAAAACUGGAAACCACAAACUCUCAGCUCCUUACCAUUGAGACUUCUUAAUAACAAAAUCCCUUCCUGACUCUGUGCAUAAUUGCCUGGAAGAGGGAGCGGGAGAUGAAGUCCUUCUACCCUGUAAGGUCCACACGCCUAUUGGACCAAUUCUCUGGCUCCCCACUGUUUGAGGUCUUCAUGCCAAAUGGCUGCUGGGAGAGUCAUGAAGCCAGUGGAUGGAAAUAGCUCUGCCUGCUGGGAGAAAGAGGAUCUUGGAGCACUCUCGCCUUGUCUUCUUACAAAUAUCAACCAAGCGUUUUUGUACUUCUGCCAGUUGCCAUAGAGACCGUGUGGGGAACACAUGUAAAUAUUCGGCGUGUGUGAGACGUGCUAAGGUCCUCCAGGGCAGUGUGGUUUUUCUUCUACUUGGCUUUUCUCUUCCUGGCCGAGAGCAGCAGUUUGCAGCCACAUCGGUAAGGCCUGUGGUUUCAGGCCUCAGACUCGUGCAGCUCGUUUUUAAGGAACUCAUCUACUGGCAGGGACUGGGAAACACCCCACAUUUAGAUCAUGAGACCCGGGGUUGCAAUCCUUUUCCUUCUAGUUUUUGGUGGCCGAAGGUUGCUCCAUCUCCGUCUUCUCAUCUGUAAAGUAGGGGAAAUAAAGCCCUCUUCCCGUGCAGAGGAUUAUGGGAAGGAACACAAGCUCCAUAAAGAUGCGAGCACUAGGGUGCUUGGCAGCAUUAUUAUGUCAUCUCCGUGUGCUCCCAAAGGCUUGUCAAACUGGAUCCUGUUACUCAGAGGCACACAACAUCAAACCUGGGAUAGUAGUCGUUCAAUAAAAAGAUGCUGAAUGAAUAAAUGAGGAAUGAAAACUUUGGAUGCCUAAACUAUGAGGUAGCUCCUUGGAGUAGAAAAGGGCCGCUACCUCCUCAAAGAGUCCUGCUGUAUCUGCAUUAGACAUCCUCCCUCUGAACUGUAUCAAUCCAUCCACCCGAAGACUCAGACCAGCACCUGGCAUACACUACAUGCAGAGACAACAUCAACAUGAACGGUGCAGAAUGGGCAAUGACCCUCUAUUGUUGCCAUUGCCAUUGCUGCUAUUCCUUUGCACAGCGUGGACAAGAUCUCCUAGCUCCAUAGGAUACAUUUAUAUUGCAAGGCAUUUCUUUCUUCAUUUGAUGCAUCUCAAUAUCCCACAAGAUAGGGUCAUGUGAUGAUGAUGGCACAUAAGGACUAAGGAAUUUAAUGCUCAGUGAGAGAUCUGCCAGCAUGUUCUCCCUCUGUUGUGGCAACUGUGAGUCGUUCCUUGAAAUGGAAGUGUCAUAGGAGUAAAGAAGCCUGGAUCCCUGAGGCACCAUGUGGAGGACAGAUGUCCCAGAGGACCAUCCAGACCUACAAUGGAUUUUGGG